RNAcentral lists this ribosomal RNA (274 nucleotides) under uncultured prokaryote. RNAcentral describes it as "partial 16S ribosomal RNA". It matches the Rfam family "Bacterial small subunit ribosomal RNA", at positions 524 to 798 of the family's 1533-position model. The record is from RNAcentral.
UACGUAGGGGCGAGCGUUGUCCGGAAUAAUUGGGCGUAAAGGGCGCGUAGGCGGCUCUGCAAGUCAGUAGUGGAAGUCCCAUUUUCAAGGUGGGGAGGGCUAUUGAAACUGCGGAGCUUGAGUGCAGGAGAGGUUAUCGGAAUUCCCGGUGUAGCGGUGAAAUGCGUAGAGAUCGGGAGGAACACCAGUGGCGAAGGCGGGUAACUGGACUGCAACUGACGCUGAGGCGCGAAAGUGUGGGGAGCAAACAGGAUUAGAUACCCUGGUAGUCCCU